GAUGAACGCUGGCGGCGUGCCUAAUACAUGCAAGUCGAGCGAACAGACGAGGAGCUUGCUCCUCUGACGUUAGCGGCGGACGGGUGAGUAACACGUGGUUAACCUACCUAUAAGACUGGGAUAACUUCGGGAAACCGGAGCUAAUACCGGAUAAUAUAUUGAACCGCAUGGUUCAAUAGUGAAAGACGGUUUUGCUGUCACUUAUAGAUGGAUCCGCGCCGCAUUAGCUAGUUGGUAAGGUAACGGCUUACCAAGGCGACGAUGCGUAGCCGACCUGAGAGGGUGAUCGGCCACACUGGAACUGAGACACGGUCCAGACUCCUACGGGAGGCAGCAGUAGGGAAUCGUCCGCAAUGGGCGAAAGCCUGACGGAGCAACGCCGCGUGAGUGAUGAAGGUCUUCGGAUCGUAAAACUCUGUUAUUAGGGAAGAACAAAUGUGUAAGUAACUAUGCACGUCUUGACGGUACCUAAUCAGAAAGCCACGGCUAACUACGUG
This 497-nucleotide ribosomal RNA is filed under the name uncultured bacterium. Its description in RNAcentral is "partial 16S ribosomal RNA". It matches the Rfam family "Bacterial small subunit ribosomal RNA", at positions 28 to 507 of the family's 1533-position model. The record is from RNAcentral.